GCAUAUCAAUAAGCGGAGGAAAAGAAACCAACCAGGGAUUGCCCCAGUAACGGCGAGUGAAGCGGCAACAGCUCAGAUUUGGAAUCUGGCCCCCAGGGCCCGAGUUGUAAUCUGGAGAGGAUGCUUCUGGCGCGGCGCCUUCCGAGUUCCCUGGAACGGGACGCCGGAGAGGGUGAGAGCCCCGUACGGUUGGACGCCUAGCCUUUGUGAAGCUCCCUUCGACGAGUCGAGUAGUUUGGGAAUGCUGCUCAAAAUGGGAGGUAAAUUUCUUCUAAAGCUAAAUACCGGCCAGAGACCGAUAGCGCACAAGUAGAGUGAUCGAAAGAUGAAAAGCACUUUGAAAAGAGGGUCAAACAGUACGUGAAAUUGUUGAAAGGGAAGCGCCCGUGGCCAGACUUGUGCCCCGCGGACCACCCGGCGCCCUCAGCGCCGGUGCACUCCGCGGGGCGCAGGCCAGCAUCGGUUUUCCUAGGGGGAUAAAGGCGGCGGGAACGUGGCUCCUUCGGGAGUGUUAUAGCCCGUCGUGCCAUGCCCCUGGGGGGACCGAGGACCGCGCUUCGGCAAGGAUGCUGGCGUAAUGGCCACCGGCGACCCGUCUUGAAACACGGACCAAGGAGUCAAGCAUUGGGGCGAGUGUCUGGGUGCCAAACCCGCACGCGAAAUGAAAGUGAACGCAGGUGAGAGCUUCGGCGCAUCAUCGACCGAUCCUGAUGUUCUCGGAUGGAUUUGAGUAAGAGCCUUACCGCUUGGACCCGAAAGAUGGUGAACUAUGCCUGUAUAGGGUGAAGCCAGAGGAAACUCUGGUGGAGGCUCGCAGCGGUUCUGACGUGCAAAUCGAUCGUCAAAUAUGGGCAUGGGGCGAAAGACUAAUCGAACCAUCUAGUAGCUGGUUACCGCCGA
Molecule: ribosomal RNA, 900 nt
Filed under: Leptographium gracile
Lineage: Eukaryota; Fungi; Ascomycota; Sordariomycetes; Ophiostomatales; Ophiostomataceae
Description: LSU rRNA
Rfam family: Eukaryotic large subunit ribosomal RNA
Source: RNAcentral